This is an RNA transcript of Myotis lucifugus (little brown bat), 399 nucleotides long. It is a transcript of the gene named E3 ubiquitin-protein ligase RBX1 pseudogene, with no coding region annotated. The transcript has a single exon. The annotation marks the transcript as partial. The record is from RefSeq and is a predicted model, not a curated record. NCBI's taxonomy places the organism in Eukaryota, Metazoa, Chordata, Mammalia, Chiroptera, Vespertilionidae.
AGUGUUUCCAGAAUGGCGGCAGCGAAGGAUGUGGAUACCCCGAGCGGCACCAACAGCGGCAAGGGCAAGAAGCGCUUUGAAGUGAAAAGCUGGAAAGCAGUAGCCCUCUGGUCCUGGGACAUUGAGGUUGAUAACUGUGCCAUCUGCAGGAACCACGCUAUGGAUCUUUGCAUAGAAUGUCAGGCGAACCAGGCAUCUGCCCCUUCUCAAGAGUGCACCGUUGCAUGGGGAGUCUGUAAUCAUGCUUUUCACUUCCACUGCAUCUCUCGCUGGCUCAAAACACGGCAAGUGUGUCCGCUGGACAGCACCGAGUGGGAAUUCCAAAAGUACGGGCACUAGAAAAAGAAUAUUCUCCAUCAAGCUCAACUGUUUUGUUAUUCAUUUAAUGACUUGCCCUCC